CAGCCAGCCAGUAAGUCAGCCAGUUAUUCAGUCAGUCAGCAAGGGCCACACAAGGUAACAGACAGGGGAACUUGCAGGCAGCUCCUAACAGCUCUGAACUAAACACGGACUCAGAUUCACUUCAGAAAAGCCCUGUCUGAGUCAGUGGAGGAGACCGACAAGCUAACUACCUGACUCAGUCAGUCAGUCAUGAUGUGUAAUGUUACCUACCCAUCCAUGAAGUCAUUGGCUCUCUGUUCAGCAGCGAUGGCCUUCUCGUCUGGCCGGCCCACCCGCUCUAGGAAGCAGAGGGCAGGGUCUGCACGCACUGUGUUAUACUUCUCAUAACCUGUAUAGUGGACCACAGUGGAGAGACAGCCUGGAGUGUGGGAGGUAUCUGACAGAGAAGGGAACCUCUCUGCCCCAGACAUGGAGCUCAUACAUGCACAUGAGUGUCGUUCUGUGGGUUCCAGUCUGAGUCAAAGAUAAUACAGGUGUCAGCAGCAGUCAAGUUGAUGCCCAGACCUCCAGCCCGGGUACACAGCAGGAACACAAAGCGGUCCGAGUCUGGUUUGCUGAAACGGUCUAUAGCUGCCUGACGCAGGUUACCUCUCACUCUGCCAUCGAUACGCUCAUACAGCCUCUUUCCCAGGAGCCCUGGCCUCGCCUCUGCCUUACCCCACAUCCUACCCCUCAUCUUCUUCACCUUACACACCUCACCUCUACAGUGACCCACUUCCCUCCACCGGCCCAGACUCCUCUCUCCCUCUGUCUGCCGUGGGAGUGCCCCGAGGGAGUCUGUGACCUGCCGCUGAACCCCGGCUAAGCCUAGCCUAGCCACUGAGCGGAGCGCCUCGCCUUGUGUGUUUACACUGAUUUGGUUCGAAAUUUGAGUGCCAGAAAGAAGCAUGGAGGGGAAAAGAACACAGGGCCAGGCAAGGGAUAGUGAGAGACAAGAGAGGAUAACAAGAGGGAGAAGAAGAGAGAGGACAGAAAUAUCCAGAGGGAGGGAAAAAGAGAUAGAGAGACCACACAGACCAGGCCAGUUGCCUGCUUUCCUCAGCUUAGACGGGCUGCUGGGAUAAUGUCCUUUUCAUUUAGCGUGCAAACAGGAAGAUCAUUAAACCAGGAGAUUAAGACCUUGAAUGAAAGGGUCUUGGUACAUUCUUCUGCUUCUGUUACACAGUCUUUAUCAUCUCCCUGCUCUGGGUAGCAUUAUGGAGUGAUGAGCACUGGGGGCUUUAAAAGGCUCUUUCUCAGACACUGAAGAGAGAGGCUAAUGCUUAGAUAUUCAACAUUUCUCUUCAACUACAUUCAAUUUAAUAAGGGAAAGUACUGGAGUGAUUCAGCUUUUGUUGCACUGCACACUGCUAGCUAGCUAACACCAGAUAAUAAACCAUAAAUACUUCACUUUGAAAAUGGAGCUGAAAAAUGGAAAUGACAAAGUCUAUUAUUACCCUCUCAAGCAUGAUUCCUGUCUUUUUCCACAUCAGCCUAGCUGAAAGAUAUGAAAUAUCUGAGGAGAGAGAACCUUGAUUUCCAGGCUUCUAUUGGAGUGGAGUACUUGGGAGCAUAGUAAUACAAGGCGAGAAGAGAGGCAGGCAGCAGUACCUU
Non-coding RNA from Oncorhynchus mykiss (rainbow trout), 1593 nucleotides. NCBI's taxonomy places the organism in Eukaryota, Metazoa, Chordata, Actinopteri, Salmoniformes, Salmonidae. The record is from RefSeq and is a predicted model, not a curated record.